This 460-nucleotide ribosomal RNA is filed under the name uncultured bacterium. RNAcentral describes it as "partial 16S ribosomal RNA". It matches the Rfam family "Bacterial small subunit ribosomal RNA", at positions 338 to 795 of the family's 1533-position model. The record is from RNAcentral.
CCUACGGGUGGCAGCAGUGAGGAAUAUUGGUCAAUGGACGCGAGUCUGAACCAGCCAUGCCGCGUGCAGGAAGACUGCCCUAUGAGUUGUAAACUGCUUUUGUACGAGGGUAAACGCAGAUACGCGUAUCUUUCUGAAAGUAUCGUACGAAUAAGGAUCGGCUAACUCCGUGCCAGCAGCCGCGGUAAUACGGAGGAUUCAAGCGUUAUCCGGAUUUAUUGGGUUUAAAGGGUGCGUAGGCGGUCGGAUAAGUUAGAUGUGAAAUCCUGAGGCUCAACUUUGGAAUUGCCUUUGAUACUGGUCGGCUAGAGAACAGUUGAGGUAGGCGGAAUGCAUGGUGUAGCGGUGAAAUGCUUAGAGAUCACACAGAACACCGAUUGCGAAGGCAGCUUACCAAGCUACUUCUGACGUUGAGGCACGAAAGCGUGGGGAGCAAACAGGAUUAGAUACCCUAGUAGUC